GAUGAACGCUGGCGGUAUGCCUAACACAUGCAAGUCGAACGGUGUUUUCGGACACAGUGGCGGACGGGUGAGUAACGCGUGAGAAUCUGCCUUCAGGAUGGGGAUAACAGGGAGAAAUCGCUGCUAAGACCCAAUGUGCAGAAAUGUGAAAGUAUUUAUAGCCUGAAGAGGAGCUCGCGUCCGAUUAGUUAGUUGGUGAGGUAAAGGCUCACCAAGGCAGCGAUCGGUAGCUGGUCUGAGAGGAUGAGCAGCCACACUGGGACUGAGACACGGCCCAGACUCCUACGGGAGGCAGCAGUGGGGAAUUUUCCGCAAUGGGCGAAAGCCUGACGGAGCAAUACCGCGUGAGGGAGGAAGGCUUUGGGUUGUAAACCUCUUUUGUUAAGGAAGAAGAAGUGACGGUACUUAACGAAUCAGCAUCGGCUAACUCCGUGCCAGCCGCCGCGGUAAU
Molecule: ribosomal RNA, 451 nt
Filed under: uncultured bacterium
Lineage: Bacteria
Description: bacterial SSU rRNA
Rfam family: Bacterial small subunit ribosomal RNA
Source: RNAcentral